GACGAACGCUGGCGGCGUGCUUAACACAUGCAAGUCGAACGCUGAAGCUUGGUGCUUGCACUGGGUGGAUGAGUGGCGAACGGGUGAGUAAUACGUGAGUAACCUGCCCUUGACUCUGGGAUAAGCCUGGGAAACUGGGUCUAAUACUGGAUACGACAUGCCACUGCAUGGUGGUGUGUGGAAAGGGUUUUACUGGUUUUGGAUGGGCUCACGGCCUAUCAGCUUGUUGGUGGGGUAAUGGCCUACCAAGGCGACGACGGGUAGCCGGCCUGAGAGGGUGGCCGGCCACAGUGGGACGGAGACACGGCCGAGACUCCUACGGGAGGCAGCAGUGGGGAAUAUUGCACAAGGGGCGGAAGCCUGAUGCAGCAACGCCGCGUGAGGGAUGACGGCCUUCGGGUUGUAAACCUCUUCCGGCGGGGAAGAAGGGGGAGGGACGGGAGGGGGAAAAGAAGCGCCGGCUAACUACGGG
Molecule: ribosomal RNA, 472 nt
Filed under: uncultured bacterium
Lineage: Bacteria
Description: partial 16S ribosomal RNA
Rfam family: Bacterial small subunit ribosomal RNA
Source: RNAcentral